CGGUCAGUGGGACAGAGUGGGAGAAAAGGCUCAGUUCAUUUGUCUUCACUGGGCCACUUGAGCAAAACACACGACGAAUGGGGAGGAACACACACACACACACACACACACACACACACACACACACGGACCUAUUACUGUUCUAGCUGCUGAAGUACUGCUCACAUUGGCAGAUGAUCUAUUGAAAUAACAGCCAUUUCAUUUUGACCUUGAUAAAGUCGCUUGAGUGAGACUCAUCAUGAUUUUAGUUGUUAGUGAGAGUGUGUGUGUGUGUGUGUGUGUGUGUGUGUGUGUGUGUGUUUCUUCGCUUAUCCUAGAAAGGACGCCGUUUUUGUGAAAGCAAGGACAUUUUGAGGACAUCUUGAAACACCUCCUUGCAGCACUGUUGCGUUGAGCUGUGUCGACUUGGCGUGCAGGAAAACAAAACGCUUCAGCUUGAUGUUGUAAAAUAUGUAACAUUUGUUUUGGCAUUUAUUCUGUGUACGUAUCAAAGUAGAGACAUCUAAUUGCUGGCUGUGACUCAGACUUCAGUGCCAGUAAAUCCAAACCUACGUGUUUCCAUCUCCUGCAUGAAACGCUCUCCUGUGGCCUCGGGAGCAUUUAUGUGAGUUUUGUGAGGAACAACGCUUCAAGUAAACCGAGGAGAAGUAGUUUCACUGUGUUUCAAAACCAAAGAACGAACAACUGUUUCUUGCGGGGACACACCCGACUCUCGCGCCGCAGCCGCCGCUUUUUGGAAGGCGCCUGCGGCCGAAUGAAGGACGAUUUCUCCAGCAGGAGCGGAAAGACGCGAGUGCGGCAGUGAGACGGGGGCGGAGGGGGAGUAACUCAUCCCAGUAAGGCGAAGCUUUAGAUCAUAGACUGUUAACCACAGUCCACUUCACGCCCUACUGCUCCCUCACACACUCACACUCCAGGUACUGCUGCCCCCUGAGUCCUUUCAACAGCAUCCCACCGCCUAUAAAAGACGGGGGAAAAUGACAGCUCCAAAGAGGGAUGCACUGCAGUUAAGCUGACAUGCUUUAAAGUUUUCAUUUCUUUCUUUUCAAAGUCUUUGGGAAGGACGAGUUAGUGAGGCUUCAUUCGUGUGCUCUUAUAAGAGGAUGAGUGUAGCCAGAAUAUACAAGGACCUCGUCUCAGAGCAGACAAACUACUGGAAGCUGAGGUACAUAAAUGACAAGAAGUAAGAAGUAAGAACAGGAGAAAUGAAGGAAAAGAGAGCGCUGACGUGUAGACCGAUGGUUCCACUAAGGAUGGUGUGGAAGGUGUCAAUCAAACCCUGGUGAGGACCAAACAACCGGACCACGGGGGUCUCUUCUACUUCCAAGCAGACUCGUAGGCAAAAACUAAUGUUUUUCUUUAUUUGGUCUCCCAGAGAAAAGCAACACACAUCUAAUUCAUUGCAGGGUUGUUUCAAUACUUAACUUAGUUUUUUAAAAGUCAUCCAGCGCCUGAAUCUUGAAGGGAUUUUGCGUUUUAUUGCCUUAUCAACGUGGAUGUUUGUCCCUUAAUGCAGACAGAGCUUCAACAAUUGUAUAUGCAUGAAACAGAUUGUAUCUUCGUUGAUGUCAAUACUCUAGUAGACUCUAAUUAUGUUAAUCGCCAACCUGUUUUGAAACCAAGUUGGGUUUUCAGCUAAUUUAACAGGACCACUUUAGUCCAUUAUUGAUCUCCAGCACGGUGUAAAAUGUGACAAUUACAAGCCGAUUAAAGCUGUUAAUUGAUUCAUCAAACAUGUGGUUAAUCACCUUUGUAACUGAAAUGAGCUCCCAAAUGUGUUAUGAUUGAUUAGCAAAUCAAAUGUCAAAAGUUUAACAAUUCAAAGAGCAACCUGAAAAAGAGAAAAGCAUUUGGGAUUAUUAAAGUCAGAGCAGAGCUGCUGUCAAGGUAAAAGGCUGGUCUGUUGGUAGGACGCAAAAUCGCAAAACAAAAUUGGAGAUCGGAGAUGGUCCUGACUCUAUCCCCCACAGCUCCACCAACCUGCCCCAGACCCCCACCGCUCACGCCUCUGUAUCACAUUCCCCUCCCCCACCAGCAACGACCCUGUCUAUUCUGGAGAGAGACGUUAACCGGCUCUUUAAAAACCCCAAAAGGCAGCCGGCCCGGACACCGUCUCCCCUCACUCCCUGAAGCAUUGUGCUGACCAGCUGUCUCCGGUGUUCACUGACAUCUUCAACACCUCCCUGGAGACAUGCCACGUACCAGCCUGCUUCAAGGCCUCCACCAUCAUCCCUGUCCCCAAGAAGCCCAGGAUCACAGGACUCAAUGACUACAGGCCCGUCGCCCUGACCUCUGUAGUCAUGAAGUCUUUUGAACGGCUAGUCCUGUCCCACCUGAAGUCCCUCACCGACCCCCUCCUGGACCCCCUGCAGUUCGCCUACAGAGCCAACAGGUCUGUGGACGACGCUGUCAACAUGGCCCUCCACUACAUCCUCCAGCAUCUGGACUCCCCAGGAACCUACGCCAGGAUCCUGUUUGUGGACUUCAGCUUUGCCUUCAACACCAUCAUCCCGUCUCCGGUGCAGGACAAACUCUCCCAGCUGCACCGCCCGACUCCACCUGCAAGUGGAUCACUGACCAUCUGUCUGACAGGAAGCAGCAUGUGAAGCUGGGGAAACAUGUCUCAGCCUCUCGGACCAUCAGCACCGGUUCCCCCCAAGGCUGCGUUCUUUCCCCUCUGCUCUUCUCCCUGUACACCAACAGCUGCACCUCCCUUCCAUUUGGCAGGAGGCUACUGUCUGAUUCUAUGCACCAACCGCCAAGUCAAAUUCCUUAUAUGUCUUACAUAUGUUGGUAAUAAAUGUUCCUGAUUUCUGAUUCCUGAAGAAGAUUCUGACACAGAGGCACCAAUGCAAAUAUCUGGAGAAAGCAACAAGUCUGGGAUUCACGAUUUGCUGAAGAACUUUUCAGUUCAGAUUUUAAAUUGGCUACGAGGUAGAGGUUCUGCCUCCUGAAGAGUCGCCCCUUGGUGGUCACUUGCGGUAAUGCAGCUUUAAGACACUUUAAGACACCACAGCGGCUUCACUCGGCCCAACUAAUGCCUACCGGUUGUCUCAUACAUAUACACACAUAUCUCACUUUGACCCUCAUCAUCUCCAAGAAGGUUGCUUUUGGGCCCUCGGGUUGAAAUGAAUGUGUUCAUUAGCACCUAGUUAUCCCACAAAAUCAGUCAUAUGUUUUUCUGAGACAUUUAUCAGGAAGUAUAAAACUACAAAAUAAAACACUACAAGGUGGAUGGGUUGAACAGGAAAAAAUCAGAUCAGUAUCUGACACCCAAAGACGGUUCUCAUGUAACGUAUCUGUAAGUAAGAGGAAUCAGGAAAACUUGAACCAUUGAAAAGCAGCAUGUGUGUAAGUGAAAAUUUUUCGCAAUGUAACCCUCAAAAAGCUUUCGAAAGCUUCAAAACACUCCUUCAGAGUUUGCCGAGCGUUUGAUAAAAGAAAGGCCGACUGACUUUGCCGUAAACAAGCGGGUUCUGGGACAGCUGGAAGCCCCCCCGCCGCGGCAAAACAUCACAUGGACACACCAAGAUGACUCCGACUGUGUCAAACUGAUAAACUCGCGAGCCCCCCACUGAGCUGUGGGUUUAUUUCAUCCUUCACUGAGCCAUCAACACACCCACAUAUGUGGGUCCCUUCACUUCCUCCAAUAUUCUUCUCCAAAAUCGCUAAUCCAAACUCGCUAACGUUAGCAGCACCACUAACGUUAGCAGCUCUCCUCACUCGGUUAGUUGUUCACAGUGUGAGAUUUCCGAGGAUUGGGGAAUAGAAACAAUGACUGCAUCGGUAAAUACCACGUUAAAGCGUGUAUGGGGGGGUUGUUACGUGUUCUGAGCAGGAGCUGGUAGCGGUAGCAUAGCAACAGCUGUGAGCACAACGGAGUUUCCAUGUGGACACACAGCUUCUUAAGCUCCCUUUCUAUCUGGGAGCCUCACAUCUUAUAGAAGUAGCUCACCAACAACUUGUCCGACCCCCCUCACCUCCUGCGGAGCGAGAGGAGUAGAGCUGAAGCAGGUAACAGAGUCGGCGAGUGUGUGAAGAAUGGAGGUAAUCACUGUAAUUCAACUUCAUUUAAGGGCAAAUGAGAAUCGAUGAGAGCAGGCUUCAAGGGAGGCCGCGGGAAAACAACCCAAUUCAUCACUGGGUCACUGGGCCACACAAAUGGAGGCAGAGGAGUGAUUCAGAGAGAGGCGACCACGACAAGCUUUGAGGUGGAAUGACAGGUUUGGUUUUUCAUUCUCAAGUAGCCACCUCACAUGUGAGUCACCAGCUGUCACGCCCCCAAUAGUAAGCACACACACACACACAUACACACACACACUAGCUCAUCCUCCACUGUGAGGACUGCAGUCACACACACACAUUAAUCACUGCCGCGGUCUGGAGGGGAAGCCAGUGGUGUAUUUCCCUCGGGGCAGCAGUUCUUCUGCUGCUUCAGCUCGCCACCUUCUCUGAGUAAAUGCAGCUCACAGGAAGUGCUGUGUUGGUUCUAUAGGUAUGUAGAAGUGAAACGUCACAAUGUAGUGAAAUGAGAUGAAAAAAACACUUAAGGCCAACUCGGUUUGGUUGUGAGGGAGAUUUAAAAACAAUCUUUACCUUCAACCUUACAUAUUUACUUUAUUUAAGGGAUUUGUGUCCUGUUCCAUAAUUUGGCCAACCAACCACAAGUAAGUAUUUUGGGUUGAAAUGGUGCAAACCCAUCUUGACUUUUUCCAACUAGUGAACAGGAAGUGAUCUCAUCCGGACUGAGGAGGAUGUAGAGACAUAAUUUACGUCUCUGGUAGAGAGCUGUCAAUCAUUGUGUAGCCCCGCCCUAAAGCACCCCCUUCUUUAUGCUCUGUUUGACUCUAAAUGAACAUCAUGAUCUAUUGAGGAAGACUUGAAAGUCUUUGAGACUGAGACCAUGAACUCAUGUUUACAAUGUUUACUUCUCACUACAGAGAAGUAGAGUCAUUUCCUCAUAGACGUCUAUGGGAGCAGAGGAGUCGCCCCCUGCUGGUCACUACAGAGAAGUAGAGUCAUUUCCUCAUAGACGUCUAUGGGAGCAGAGGAGUCGCCCCCUACUGGUCACUACAGAGAAGUAGAGUCAUUUCCUCAUAGACGUCUAUGGGAGCAGAGGAGUCGCCCCCUGCUGGUCACUACAGAGAAGUAGAGUCAUUUCCUCAUAGACGUCUAUGGGAGCAGAGGAGUCGCCCCCUGCUGGUCACUACAGAGAAGUAGAGUCAUUUCCUCAUAGACGUCUAUGGGAGCAGAGGAGUCGCCCCCUGCUGGUCACCACACAGAAUGCAGCUUUAACUCAAGAAGCAUUGGCUUCACUGAUGAAACAAUAUUUUUCCCUUCUUCCAGCAUUCAGAUCACAGAUCUACUCUAAAGCAAUGUUUAAAAGCUGUUUCUAAUUAAUUUUAUAAUACAUAAAAAUGUAUAUGAUAUAAUUUAUUUUUCUACCCUAAGAAUAAUUGACAACUGUGUGAACCGUCUCAUCUUUCGUUGUAAAUUUCAUUGUAUAACAACAAUGACAACAAAAAAGCAAAAAAGUCUUUUUUGUAUAUUACGCUCAGUAAUCCCGUUUGUUGGAAACAAAUCAUUGUAUUUUAAUGACGUAUGUGCUUAGAUAUCAAAGAAAAAAAUCUACUCGGAACUUGCAUUAGGACGUUAAAUAUGUCACAAUUCAUUCUCUGAUAUCUAUUUGAUUCGCUGUGAAAACAUCUACCUUAGACAUGUUGACACAUGAAGAUUUAAUGUCAUAAGUGACCCUUUCAGCGGCUCAGUGGCAUCACAGAGCGAGCGCAGCUCAAACAGAGCAGUAAACAGAUUACGCAUAAUGUACUGUCUUUUCUUUCAUUUUUUGACGAGCUGUCGUAUUUCCAAUCUUUGUCUCAGUCUCCCCUUCGGUGAGGAAGAGACUCCAUUAUUGCACCUUUUCAUCAGCUCUGACUCAUUGCUCUGCGCUCCCGUCCACACGCAAACAAACCUGCUGUUUGCUUCCCUGAAAUGUGCUUCGUCAUUUUACAGCAGGCCGCCUCCGGGCCAUAAAUCAUCUUGUGGCAGUCCAGAUGUGCGAUGCUGCCGCCCGGGUGUGUUUGUUGUUGCCCGGAGCCGGCCGCCUAAAGGUCGGGCCCGUCAAAGCGCUGCACGCUUAGUGACGCUGGACGGAAAUGAGGUGGCACUUUCCAUUAGAGCCACUGCAUUUCAUAAUUACACCCCAAUUAGAGAGGAAGAGGAUGGAGUCCUCAACAUCCAACGGGCCCUCUGCGGCGCUUCGGUUCCACGCGGACGGAAGAGGGUGAUGAAGGUGAAGAAGAUGAAAGAGAUGGAGGUGAAGAAGGAGAUGACAGUGAUGAAGGUGAUGAAUGACUUGAAAUGGACUUCAUUCAUUUAAUUUAAAUAAAUAUGAUUCCAUCUCUGCGAUGUUGAGUGAUCGUCACCCUCCAAUCACAGAGCGCCAGACGUUGCUUCUGCCCACGAACGGCUCAGAAAGCACCUCCAUCUUCCUCAGGAGGAGAAGUAGCUACGUCUUCAUCUCUUUCUCCCUCUGACUCUUCCUCUUGUCAUCCACCAGACAGGCCGAUAGAUGUCACCCAGCUGAUCCUCGGUCAGCACAACGGGCAGAAGCGCACACACACACACACACACACACACUCUACGCAGGUCCAGAUGUUUCACAGAGCGGGUGUGAAGAUGUGGUUGGAGGUGAAGGCGUAGUCCUGCUGGCCUCGGCAGACGGUGAGAGGUGAUCGUGGUCGUGACGUCCGGAGGCAGCAUGGCGAGCUUUGAUGUGCUUCUCCCGUAUCCACGGUGACCAGGGUUGAAUUCCACUGAUGCCCCCCGUGACUGGGAUGGGGAAGCUUCCGUGUGCGGGUCACAUUAGUUUCUGCAGCAGAGCGAUGAAGCGCUCCGAGCCGCAACAUUGCAGUAGAUUACGAGCGCGGCCGGUUGGGGUGAUUACGGAGCGUCUCAGGCACAUGGAGAGGUGCCAUCCGUCCAGCACCACGGCCAGCACCACCCAGUAGAUCAGAGGAAGGAGAGAAGAGACUUCUGCUCUAUCUUUAACAAGGAUAAUACGUAAUACGCUGGUUUACUGCAGUUCUCCUCCACCCUGACAACUCGGGGCUAAAAUCCUAAUUAAAGGCUAUCUGGCAAUGUGAGGCGUGUACACAUCUGAUCCUAAAGAAAGAAACCACAGUGAUGUAACGAGGCAGACGUGUGAUGAUCUUAAGACUUCAGUGAAGUGCUUCAGACAAACCCGGAUUCCUCCCAUGUGGAUGCUGCUGCACGUGAAACACAACAAGGACACAAACAGGGGUCUCCUGGGGGAAAGGCCCGAGUUCGUAUGACCCCCCCACUUGCUAUUCUAACAUCCACAACUGGAAUUGCCGUCCUGCGUUUGCAUCAUUUUUGACCCGAACAAAUCAGCUGAUGUUCAUUAUCGGGCCGCAGGACGUCUCCUUCGGGAGGACAACGUCAACCUCCAGCUGCCGUCACGUCUUCGCCACAAAGUCCCCGAGGGCCACGAGGACGCUUCACAUUGACGCUGGUGAUAUUCACUUCCACAUAAUUGGACCCUUUACGACGCCCGUAGCCACGGCCAUCUGCACACGCUUCCAACAUCCGUCACACUGCAACAUCCGCACGGAAUACGUUCAAAUGGUCAUUUGGGCUUCUUUCAUUUAAAUGCACGUUCUAAACAAGCUGUAUUACCUUGAACUCUUACUUUUAAUCGGAGCUUCUCACUAGAGGAUCACCUGACGGAACCAAAGCGACAAAGAAACAAGCUUUUAAACUGGAUUGGACUUAUUUCUUCACAUUUGUCAACUUAAUUCAAGUCUGAUUCAGCGUUUCCACAGUUUGUUC
Long non-coding RNA from Gasterosteus aculeatus aculeatus (three-spined stickleback), 7851 nucleotides. The record is from Ensembl. Lineage: Eukaryota; Metazoa; Chordata; Actinopteri; Perciformes; Gasterosteidae.